GAAUGAAUAAGGUAUUUUGGUAGCAUUAUCAGAGAAGAAUUAGACUGUUCCUGACCAAAAAUCCAUGACAAAGGGGAAAACCUUUAACAUUGCAUUUAAAUAGUUUUAAGACAAAAUAGGUCUUCUUUCAAAGGCAUUUCCAGGAAUAUAAUUUAUCAGCAAUAAUGAGUAAAUAUUUUAAGGAUAUAUAGCGAGUUUGGC
RNAcentral lists this unclassified non-coding RNA (201 nucleotides) under Hevea brasiliensis (rubber tree). Lineage: Eukaryota; Viridiplantae; Streptophyta; Magnoliopsida; Malpighiales; Euphorbiaceae. The record is from RNAcentral.